ACCACUUUUGAUUAAAUAUCAAUAAAACCAGUCAAAAGAAAAAAAAUCUGUUCUUAUCAGUUUAAUAUCUGAUACGUCCCCCAUCAGGGGACUACAUAUUAAAUGUAUUUUUAGAUCACGGAGCUGGAGCCGGGGCUUGCUCCGUCCACUCCAUGCAUCGGCCUGGUAUUGCAGUGUCUCCAGGAACGGUGUGCUUUCC
Molecule: small nuclear RNA, 199 nt
Filed under: Carassius auratus (goldfish)
Lineage: Eukaryota; Metazoa; Chordata; Actinopteri; Cypriniformes; Cyprinidae
Description: U2 spliceosomal RNA (ENSCARG00000060577.1)
Rfam family: U2 spliceosomal RNA
About the family: U2 is a small nuclear RNA (snRNA) component of the spliceosome (involved in pre-mRNA splicing).
Source: Rfam by way of RNAcentral